This 328-nucleotide ribosomal RNA is filed under the name uncultured bacterium. RNAcentral's name for it is "bacterial SSU rRNA". It matches the Rfam family "Bacterial small subunit ribosomal RNA", at positions 568 to 898 of the family's 1533-position model. The record is from RNAcentral.
CGUGUAGGCGGUGCGGUAAGUUGGGCGUGAAAUCCCCGAGCUUAACUCGGGUGGGCCGUUCAAGACUGCCGUGCUAGGGUGCGGGAGAGGGAAGUGGAAUUUCCGGUGUAGCGGUGAAAUGCGUAGAUAUCGGGAGGAACACCUGCGGCGAAGGCGGCUUCCUGGACCGUAACCGACGCUGAGGCGCGAAAGCUAGGGGAGCAAACAGGAUUAGAUACCCUGGUAGUCCUAGCCCUAAACGAUGAGCACUGGGCGUGGUCCCUCACGGGGCCGUGCCGAAGCUAACGCAUUAAGUGCUCCGCCUGGGGAGUACGGUCGCAAGGCUGAA